CUCUCUCUCAAAUUUCUAUUUUUUUAUACGACGAACACAUAAAUCUCUGUCACAUAGCUUCAAUCACCUCUACAUGUACAACUAGCACAACCAUCAUCAUCAUCAUCUUUUGUUUCAUCGUCGCCACCGUAUUUGCUCCGUCAUCAUCUCCGUAAUUUUUACCUUUCUUCUUUCUCGAGAAAUUGAAUCGUUUGAUUCUUAGAUUUGAGAGAGAGCAAUGA
Molecule: long non-coding RNA, 221 nt
Filed under: Brassica napus (rape)
Lineage: Eukaryota; Viridiplantae; Streptophyta; Magnoliopsida; Brassicales; Brassicaceae
Description: long non-coding RNA (BNAP_LNC027173)
Source: RNAcentral